AUGGAUAACACCACCUGCCCUAUAAUGUGUUGGAAUGUAAGAGGACUGAACACCCCGGCUCGUCGAUCUGUAGUGUGUGACACCGCGAGCGCGCAUAGGCUAGACAUUCUAUGCCUUCAGGAGACAAAGAUUGAAAUAGUCGCCGGUGAUAGCAGGGAAAUCGGAGGGGGCAGGUUAGAUGACUGCGCCGUGCUGCCAGCCAUAGGAACGCGAGGAGGAAUUGCCAUUUUCUGGAACUCUGGCAACGUCUCCGUCCAAACUCACGCCAUAGGCCAAUUCUCCAUCACGGCUAGAGUUAGUCUUUUUGGAUCCCAAAGAUCUUUCUGGCUCACCACGGUCUAUGGACCAGUCGACGAGGUGUGUAAGGAUGAGUUCCUUGCUGAGAUCGCCAGGGCGGCCCCUCAGCCUGGAGAGGCUUGGCUAAUCAACGGCGACUUUAACAUCAUAUAUGAGGCUAGGGACAAGAGCAACAGUAACAUUAACCGUAGGAUCAUGGGCAAGUUUAGAGCAGCUAUCGAUGCGGCGGGCCUACGCGAAAUCAAAUGC
Molecule: ribosomal RNA, 546 nt
Filed under: Triticum aestivum (bread wheat)
Lineage: Eukaryota; Viridiplantae; Streptophyta; Magnoliopsida; Poales; Poaceae
Description: partial small subunit ribosomal RNA
Source: RNAcentral